Molecule: non-coding RNA, 524 nt
Organism: Musa acuminata subsp. malaccensis (wild Malaysian banana)
Lineage: Eukaryota; Viridiplantae; Streptophyta; Magnoliopsida; Zingiberales; Musaceae
Source: RefSeq, a predicted model, not a curated record
GCACCAUCCGUUGCCUUGUUAGGGUUAGGGUUUCGUCGUCGUUUCAACCCUUGGCUUUUGUUGGUUUUGGGGGUUUAGUAUUGGGGUUGCUCGAGUUCUCCGAGGCCUUUGAGGUCCUCUAUCUCUUCUCGUCCUGUGUCGCCUCCUUUGCUUUCAAUCGGUAGGACCUCGCUGGCCUGAUCGAUUGCGUCAUUGGAGAUCCACCGCGCCUUUAGGUAGUCACUAUCCUUUGGUCCGGCUGCUGGCAGCGGUGGAUAAUCUUUGUGAUAAAUAAUCAUGUAACGCUUCCUAUGAGUUUUAGGAUCUCCCAUCAAAAAUCUGCUCGCUAUCUCACUGGCAUCUGAAAUGGGAGCUCUUAUUUUUUCGGAGGACACAAUGCCGAGAGCUAGCUUGAUGAAUGUCUGUAACUUUCUUUUCCACGGGGAUUGAAUCCUGUAAUUCUGUAUAGCUCAGAUUGACAGUAGAAAUUGUACGUGACAGUUUAUGUUGGAUUAUUUAUCUUGAACACUAAGUAUAUAUUGAUG